This 253-nucleotide ribosomal RNA is filed under the name uncultured bacterium. RNAcentral's name for it is "partial 16S ribosomal RNA". It matches the Rfam family "Bacterial small subunit ribosomal RNA", at positions 524 to 776 of the family's 1533-position model. The record is from RNAcentral.
UACAGAGGGUGCGAGCGUUAAUCGGAAUUACUGGGCGUAAAGCGCGCGUAGGCGGUUUUGUAAGUCGGGUGUGAAAUCCCUGGGCUCAACCUGGGAACUGCAUUCGAGACUGCAAAACUGGAGUAUGGGAGAGGACAGCGGAAUUUCCGGUGUAGCGGUGAAAUGCGUAGAUAUCGGAAGGAACAUCAGUGGCGAAGGCGGCUGUCUGGCCCAAUACUGACGCUCAUGUGCGAAAGCGUGGGGAGCAAACAGG